AGACCCAGAGAGAGAGUCAGGGUCUGAUCCGCAGCCUCAGUGGCAGCUGUUGAUCAGUACUUGCCUCUCUCUCUUUCUCUU
Non-coding RNA from Myotis davidii, 81 nucleotides. Lineage: Eukaryota; Metazoa; Chordata; Mammalia; Chiroptera; Vespertilionidae. The record is from Rfam.